AAAGAUUUAAUUUUAGUAUGUAUAGUGUCACAUGAUAGUAAUAAUAUAAGUAUUUAAAUUUUAAUAUAUUUGAUUGAUUAAAUUAAAUAAUGGAACUAAAUUAAUAGUUAAGAUGGGUGAGAUUAAAAUAAUGAGAUAAUGAGUAAGUGAAGUUUGGACUUUAAUGAGGUUAGGUAUGGGAGUAAUUAUAGAAGGUUCUAGUUUCAAAAAAAAUAAAAAGAAAGGAAAAAAAAAUAAUAAUGAAAUGAAAUAUCAAGCCAAGUGAGUAGUUCUCGUUCAUUCAAAGACUUUUGGCCUAAAUUAUUAGCUUUUGACAGUAACUAAGGAGCUUUUUUAGGACAACCUUCUCCACCAAUUUUCUAGCCUAUUACGGGUAUGUUCUUGUAAGAAUAAGUCAUCCAAAUGAUCAUCUAUACUUAAUUUGAUCUUAGCUACCCAACAUUUUGCCCAUCUUCAAUGUUCCAAAGAGAGGAAUUUUUAGGAAUCAUGGCGAGCUGCUGUCAUUCUUCUCUUUUGAUGUCACCAGCUCCGACAACAUUAUCAACUAUGGCAAGCUUUCCAACCAGCUCCCUUACAUAAGCUUUUGAACCUAAAACUUUCUCAUCCUCUCAGUCUUAAUUGAUUGUUAAAUUAAAUUAGGUUUAAGGAUGUCUAAGAGUUGGAUCAUAAUAGAAGUGGUAGUAGUUACAGAUUCGAGAUGCUAAACUCCAUGGUUUGGAAAAAUGAAGUUAGAAAAUUAGAUGGUUAGGUUCAAUUCCGGCAGGGGCGUUACAUUAAUAAAUAUUGAUGUUUUGGAAGUUUUGAAUCCACUGAAUGCAUAGCCAAUUUCUUAGCAGAA
Long non-coding RNA from Ricinus communis (castor bean), 838 nucleotides. RefSeq lists it as uncharacterized. Lineage: Eukaryota; Viridiplantae; Streptophyta; Magnoliopsida; Malpighiales; Euphorbiaceae. The record is from RefSeq and is a predicted model, not a curated record. The transcript has 2 exons.